AGAGUUGAUUAUGGCUCAGGAUUAACGCUGGCGGCGUGCCUAAUACAUGCAAGUCGAAUGGUAGCAAUACCAUGGCGAACGGGUGAGUAACACGUAGGUAACCUGUCUUUAAGCCGAGGAUAACCAUUGGAAACGAUGGAUAAUACUGGAUAGGACAUUUGAAGGCAUCUUUAGAUGUUUAAAGAUUUAUCACUUAGAGAGGGGCCUGCGGCGCAUUAGCUAGUUGGUGAGGUGAAGGCUUACCAAGGCGAUGAUGCGUAGCCGGACUGAGAGGUUGAACGGCCACAAUGGAACUGAGAACGGUCCAUACUCCUACGGGAGGCAGCAGUAGGGAAUUUUCGGCAAUGGGCGGAAGCCUGACCGAGCAACGCCGCGUGAACGAAGAAGUAUUUCGGUAUGUAAAGUUCUUUUAUUAGGGACGAAAAGACAGAUUGACGGUACCUAAUGAAUAAGCUCCGGCUAACUACGUGCCAGCCGCCGC
This 481-nucleotide ribosomal RNA is filed under the name uncultured bacterium. Its description in RNAcentral is "bacterial SSU rRNA". It matches the Rfam family "Bacterial small subunit ribosomal RNA", at positions 8 to 518 of the family's 1533-position model. The record is from RNAcentral.